CUUCAGGUAUCUUUGUGACAUGUCAGGUGUGGUGACCCCACUUCAUACCACGGAAGAACAUGUUCCUGUUUGUGCAAUGUUAUCACCAGUUAAUGAGGUGUCUGAUUCUGAUUCACGUAGAUAACAUUC
Small nucleolar RNA from Rattus norvegicus (Norway rat), 129 nucleotides. Ensembl annotates it as small nucleolar RNA SNORA24. NCBI's taxonomy places the organism in Eukaryota, Metazoa, Chordata, Mammalia, Rodentia, Muridae. The record is from Ensembl.